Molecule: ribosomal RNA, 501 nt
Filed under: uncultured bacterium
Lineage: Bacteria
Description: bacterial SSU rRNA
Rfam family: Bacterial small subunit ribosomal RNA
Source: RNAcentral
CCUUUGAACAGAUUGAACGCCGGCGGCAUGCCUAACACAUGCAAGUCGAACGGUAACAGGCGAAAGCUUGCUUUUGCCCUGACGAGUGGCGAACGGGUGAGUAAUGCUUAGGAAUCUGCCCAGUAGCGGGGGACAACAAUCGGAAACGGUUGCUAAUACCGCAUACGCCCUACGGGGGAAAGCAGGGGAUCUUCGGACCUUGCACUAUUGGAUGAGCCUAAGUCAGAUUAGUUUGUUGGUGGGGUAAUGGCCUACCAAAGCGACGAUCUGUAGCUGGUCUGAGAGGACGAUCAGCCACACUGGUUUUGAGACACGGUCCAGACUCCUACGGGAGGCAGCAGUGGGGAAUAUUGCACAAUGGGCGCAAGCCUGAUGCAGCAAUGCCGCGUGUGUGAAGAAGGCCUGCGGGUUGUAAAGCACUUUCAGCAGGGAGAAAAAGUAAUAAGUUAAUACCUUAUUGCCGUGAUGUUACCUGCAGAAUAAGCACCGGCUAAUUCCGUG